UUUCAGAUUACGUGCUCCCAAAUAUCCACAAUUUUCACGAUUUGCGCGAUAGAUAAGACUGGGAUUCGGGCCAGGUUCCGGGUUACAUGGUGACCUAUUAUUUCAACCCAAACCCAGUCCAUAUUUAAAUUCGGGUAGUCCAUAUUGCUAAAUUCCAAACUGGAGCGGGCAACCCGGACUAAACCCGGAAUCCAAUUCUUCACCCCUAGGCCGGUUGGAGCUGAAUUGGAGAAUGGAUCCGACCCGCUUAAUUUGGGCGGACCAGAAAAGUUGAAACCUAAUUCUCUAACCUAGAAAAAUGGAGUCAGCCGGCCGGCAACCUAAUCCUCUUACUCCGUCUCUACUCUCAUACUCAUCUCUUCCCGUCUCAUCUUCUUUGUCGAUCGGCGGCGUUCCCAUCUCAUCUCCCUGUCCAGGUAAUUUUUUCUCAUCCUUGGCUCUCCAAUGACUUUGAUUUCUGUAUCGAAGCUUGUUCCAUUCGAAAUUGACGUGAGGAAGGAAAAGAAAAGUGAAGAAAAAGGUUGUCAAAGUGAGGGUUGCGGAGUUUGUUUGAGAGAUUGAAUAAUUGGGUUUGGAAAUUGGAAUUGUGGUGUUUUCAUCUCAUGGUAUUCUUCUGAAGGGGGUUGUUACAUUAAAAUUUUUGGUGGGAAGAGAGCAACUUUGCUCAGCUUGCUUUGUCUUUUCUCCAUUGAAGCACAACAUGGAUUCCAGGAAGAAGACAGAGCUAGCUUCACAAGAGUAGAAGAAUACGAGGGUGUAGAAAAUUAGAAGGAACGAGAUGCUAAUACCGGCUGAAUGUAGGGUUUUUAGUGAUUGGAGUUGGACUGGGUUGGGUUGGGUUUUACCAAGUUAAAUCCGGAAUUUGGAAUUUCCUUGUUUUUUCAACACACAUCUGGUCUAGUAUUUAUAUCGAUGGGUUAUCGAGUACUCAAAACCAGGUUGAUCGGGUCGGACCGGGUAAAAAUAUGAUCAAAUUCGGUCCGAUUCCUAGCUUUAGCGGUAGAGUUAAUUAGUUGAGUUGGGGGACGUCCCAUAAGAAUUAAGAUACCUUAAAUAAGGUUAAAAAUAAAUACAAAAAUUAAUGUCAUGUACAUGAUAUUUACAGACACGAUGAUAUUAUAUGAAAAGUUAUAAGAAUCAUGAUACUCACGAUUUCAUAAUCACCUAAUAUGAUUGGAAUUUGAAUUCCAUUUUGUGAUGUUGAUUACUUUGAUGUGAUGUUAGGAUUACAUAAAGAUAUAA
This 1242-nucleotide long non-coding RNA is filed under the name Linum usitatissimum (flax). RNAcentral describes it as "long non-coding RNA (LUSI_LNC002790)". Lineage: Eukaryota; Viridiplantae; Streptophyta; Magnoliopsida; Malpighiales; Linaceae. The record is from RNAcentral.